AACGAACGCUGGCGGCAUGCCUAACACAUGCAAGUCGAACGAGACCUUCGGGUCUAGUUGCGCACGGGUGCGUAACGCGUGGGAACCUGCCCUUAGGUUCGGAAUAACUCCCCGAAAGGGGUGCUAAUACCGGAUAAUGUCUUCGGACCAAAGAUUUAUCGCCUUUGGAUGGGCCCGCGUUGGAUUAGCUAGUUGGUAGGGUAAAAGCCUACCAAGGCGACGAUCCAUAGCUGGUAUGAGAGGAUGAUCAGCCACACUGGGACUGAGAAACGGCCCAGACUCCUAAGGGAGGGAGGCGUGGGGAAUAUUGGACAAUGGGCGAAAGGCUGAUCCAGCAAGGCCGCGUGAGUGAUGAAGGCCUUAGGGUUGUAAAGCUCUUUUACCCGGGAUGAUAAUGACAGUACCGGGAGAAUAAGCUCCGGCUAACUCCGUG
RNAcentral lists this ribosomal RNA (433 nucleotides) under uncultured bacterium. RNAcentral describes it as "partial 16S ribosomal RNA". It matches the Rfam family "Bacterial small subunit ribosomal RNA", at positions 29 to 507 of the family's 1533-position model. The record is from RNAcentral.